AAUAAAUAAAAUUUUCACUUUUUACCUAUAAUUUUUGACUCUUCGUCUUAUUCAAAUUUUUUUUGCGAUUAAUAUUUUUGUUUUUAUUAGAUGAUAAAUCAUGAAUAGUACUCUACGUGUGACUAAUUUUUUUUUAGUUUUUUAAAAAUUUUUCAAAUAAGACGGAUAGUCAAACGUUAGAUACGGAAACCGGAG
Molecule: microRNA precursor, 195 nt
Filed under: Oryza brachyantha (malo sina)
Lineage: Eukaryota; Viridiplantae; Streptophyta; Magnoliopsida; Poales; Poaceae
Description: MIR812 microRNA precursor family
Rfam family: MIR812 microRNA precursor family
Source: Rfam by way of RNAcentral